CUACGGGGGGCAGCAGUGAGGAAUAUUGCACAAUGGGGGGAACCCUGAUGCAGCAACGCCGCGUGGAGGAUGACGCAUUUCGGUGUGUAAACUCCUUUUAUAUGUCAAGAAAAUGACGGUAGCAUAUGAAUAAGCACCGGCCAACUCCGUGCCAGCAGCCGCGGUAAUACGGAGGGUGCAAGCGUUACUCGGAAUCACUGGGCGUAAAGGACGCGUAGGCGGGUUGGAAAGUCAGGUGUGAAAUCCUACAGCUUAACUGUAGAACUGCACUUGAAACUUCGAAUCUAGAGUAUGGGAGGGGGGGAUGGAAUUAGUGGUGUAGGGGUAAAAUCCGUAGAUAUCACUAGGAAUACCUAAAGCGAAGGCGAUCUCCUGGAACAUUACUGACGCUAAGGCGUGAAAGCGUGGGGAGCAAACAGGAUUAGAUACCCCUGUAGUC
Molecule: ribosomal RNA, 439 nt
Filed under: uncultured bacterium
Lineage: Bacteria
Description: partial 16S ribosomal RNA
Rfam family: Bacterial small subunit ribosomal RNA
Source: RNAcentral